GCUUGCAGGCCCUAGCUGAGGAUGCCCCGACUUGGCAAGAGCUGAAAUGCAUGAAAUUCCUGGCUCCCUGGGAAGUAUACCAGCGAUCCCAAGAGCUUGGUGGAUUCCAUUGGCUCGCAGAAUGCUCCUCACAACAGCAAAUGGAACCCAGUUUCAUAUGCUCAGGGCCUUAAGGAACAUGUGAGUGGGAAGAAAUUCCUGGAUGUGUAUAGGCGUUAGCUGCCAUCUCCGGUGCAGAAAACACUUGUGUCCACCGGCAGCUCUUCUGAACUAAGGGAGAGGUCAUCCCUGGAAGAGGACCUGUGUCUUUUCGAUGGACACUGUGGUGGAGAGACCUCUGAGCACUGUUCAUCUGUUCCCUCUGCCCACCUCUUCCCUCUAAGGAUGAGUGUACUGAGCCGGCUGUUGGGUACCCAUUCCUCCUCAGAGAGAAAGAGUUAGCUACUGAAGCCACCACAAGGUGGCGCCGUGACCCCAAACUUCGCACAAGCACCCCAAAGAAAAAAACCAGUUUUUUUUUUUUUUUGUUUUUUUUUUUUUAAGCUUUAUUCCCCGGGGCUUCUGAACUGUAGUGUACCCUAGCAAACCGGAGCGAUCGUACUGAAAGGGAAGUUCUGGUUCUUCAGGUCUAGGGUGGAGCCUGAAAUGCGCGUUUCUGACAGGCUCUCCGGUGAUACUAAUGCUGUCCCUGGUUCUAGGCGAGUUUAGUUUUCAUUUCUCUGAUGUUGCACCUGAUUGGAGAGGAGAGAAAAAACUAAGUAGAUGAGAAAGGGAGGCUGGGUUCUGCUCUCUGUCUUUAAGAGGCAAUGGGGGGCGGGUGAAAAUCGGGAACAGACGAGGAAACCCAGGCAGCUCUCUCUGAGUGGUCCAGUCCCUAAGUCCAUUUGCAGUGUGGGAAGAGGGGAGACGGGGAUGCUGAGCACUGAUUCAGCGGGGCAGGUGCUCUGGUCCAGGUGAGCUGUGCAGAUCCUUCUUUCUGGCAGGGCUUAUUUGAAAAUGCAGUACAGGAUUUGCAGUAGCCAGUGCCAGGUGCUUCAGCAAGCGCUCCUCAAUGCUCCCUUCAAAAGCCAACCUGGAGGCGCCGGCAGAGCCCAUCCUGGGGAGAGCCGGCCGCAGACGGAGAACUGAGCGCAGUAACGGGAAGAGCCGCUUUGCUGACACGUUACUCUUGCAUGCAUAAUCCAUCUAUUUUAGUACGCGAACUUCUGCUUUCCCAAGAGGGGAGGGCUUGCGGGGAACCGCGCACGAAGAGAAACCACUUCUUGUCCAGCGGGCCCCUUUGACUCCUGACGGGCCCUGUCACCGAUGGCUCCUGUCCUUUUUCUCUGGCUGACUCGGGGGCUUUAUUUUCUAGAUGUGGUUUGCGCUCCCCGCCCCUUCAACUUUCUGUGCAGCUGAGGAUGGCCUUGAACUUCUGAUAUUCCUGACUCUACCUCCCAAGUGCAGGGAUUUGCUGGUGAUAACACGCAGGCUUCUCACAUCCUCUCCAGCCCCCAUAUCAUCCCCCCCCCAUUUUGUUUCCCCAACAUGGUUUAAAAUAAAGUUAUACGAACAGUUGGUUUUUAACCUACUGUAUCAGUUUAGUUUACUGUUUACCCAGCUCUUACUCAAAAAGGUCAAGGCUCUAAACUUUUGUUGCGAGGCCUGCAUUAAAUUAAUACCGGAGUUAACAUUCUCCUCAGCCUUCUCCUCUGAGUUUGCAUACAGCCCACAGAAGAGAGGUCUAGCUAUACACCCAUGGGGAAGUAAAAGCUGGGUUUUUUUGGGGGGUGGCAUUGACCUUUCUAUAUCUAUAUGCAUGAGUUGAGGCGGGAGUAAUCGCAGAGUUGGCCAGAUGGGGAGGGAGGAAGAAGGGAGGAGGGGUCUGG
Non-coding RNA from Peromyscus maniculatus bairdii (prairie deer mouse), 1868 nucleotides. Lineage: Eukaryota; Metazoa; Chordata; Mammalia; Rodentia; Cricetidae. The record is from RefSeq and is a predicted model, not a curated record.